UAAGACGAACCGUGCGAACGUUGUUCGGAAUCACUGGGCUUAAAGGGCGCGUAGGCGGGCGAUCAAGUCCGGGGUGAAAGCUUUCGGCUCAACCGGAAAAGGGCCUUGGAUACUGAUCGUCUGGAGGGAGGUAGGGGCCCGUGGAACUUCCGGUGGAGCGGUGAAAUGCGUUGAUAUCGGAAGGAACGCCGGUGGCGAAAGCGACGGGCUGGAUCUCUACUGACGCUGAGGCGCGAAAGCCAGGGGAGCAAACGGGAUUAGAUACCCCGGUAGUCCUGGCCCUAAACGAUGGGUACUAGGUAGCGGACUUGACAUGGGUUCGCUGCCGAAGCCAAAGUGCUAAGUACCCCGCCUGGGGAGUAUGGUCGCAAGGCUG
RNAcentral lists this ribosomal RNA (376 nucleotides) under uncultured bacterium. RNAcentral's name for it is "bacterial SSU rRNA". It matches the Rfam family "Bacterial small subunit ribosomal RNA", at positions 521 to 896 of the family's 1533-position model. The record is from RNAcentral.